Molecule: small RNA, 71 nt
Filed under: Xanthomonas cannabis
Lineage: Bacteria; Pseudomonadati; Pseudomonadota; Gammaproteobacteria; Lysobacterales; Lysobacteraceae
Description: sX9 sRNA
Rfam family: Xanthomonas sRNA sX9
Source: RNAcentral
UCGCGCGCACGCUGCGGUUCCUGUGCGCUGCACACACCCGUCCGACAACUGCUCGCCAUGUGUUGCCAGCU